GAUGAAGAACGCAGCGAAAUGCGAUACGUAAUGUGAAUUGCAAAUUCAGUGAAUCAUCGAGUCUUUGAACGCACAUUGCGCCCCCUGGUAUUCCGGGGGGCACGCCUGUCCGAGCGUCAUUGCUGCCCUCAAGCACGGCUUGUGUGUUGGGCCCCGUCCUCCGAUCCCGGGGGACGGGCCCGAAAGGCAGCGGCGGCACCGCGUCCGGUCCUCGAGCGUAUGGGGCUUUGUCACCCGCUCUGUAGGCCCGGCCGGCGCUUGCCGAUCAACCCAAAUUUUUAUCCAGGUUGACCUCGGAUCAGGUAGGGAUACCCGCUGAACUUAAGCAUAUCAAUAAGCGGAGGA
RNAcentral lists this unclassified non-coding RNA (345 nucleotides) under soil metagenome. RNAcentral describes it as "partial contains 5.8S ribosomal RNA, internal transcribed spacer 2, and large subunit ribosomal RNA". The stretch from base 1 to 119 matches the Rfam family "5.8S ribosomal RNA", at positions 35 to 154 of the family's 154-position model. The record is from RNAcentral.